AGCUGGGAAAACGGCAAUGGAUUAAUAACAAGAAAUCAAUGGUGAAGUGGUGACUAAAAUUCUACAUUGCUCAGAAAGCAAAUAGUGAAAUGAACAUUUACAUUCUGGCAACCUCAGAAGUACAAUGAACAAAGGACACCAGCCAGGUAGGGCGUUCCCUUUUGCUGUUACAUGUUUAUCAGAUGCAUGCUCUGUUUCUGUUAUAUUACAUUAUUUUUCUCUUCAAUGUUUACUGAGGAAGAACAAGUAACUCCUCAUGCAAGUCAACUGUUAACUUUGCAGUUUUUAUUUAAUCUCCCAGGAAUGUAACUCUUAACUUUAAAGAAUG
Molecule: non-coding RNA, 328 nt
Filed under: Pongo abelii (Sumatran orangutan)
Lineage: Eukaryota; Metazoa; Chordata; Mammalia; Primates; Hominidae
Source: RNAcentral